Molecule: non-coding RNA, 234 nt
Organism: Gasterosteus aculeatus aculeatus (three-spined stickleback)
Lineage: Eukaryota; Metazoa; Chordata; Actinopteri; Perciformes; Gasterosteidae
Source: RefSeq, a predicted model, not a curated record
AAAAUCCAUUAAGCAGCAACAUUGGGAAUAAGUUACUUUGCUUCCCUUGACACUGUUCAAUGACAAGUCGGAUGCAAGUUGUAAGACCCGAGGUGUAAAGAGGAAUCACAUUAUUAUUAUAUGAUUGUGUUAAUGAAUGUAUGCUGUAUAUGUAGUGGCCCGUACCCGGAGAGUGACUGGAUGUCCACAAAGUCCCGCUGACGAUUGAGGGGAGUGAAGCGGAUGCAGGUAGAC